UACAUUGACUAUAGAUGAUUUGGAGCUAGUAGUGGGCUGCACUAUUGACCUUGCUCUCCAAUAGUACAGCCCACUACUAGCUCCAAAUCAUCUAUAGCC
RNAcentral lists this microRNA precursor (99 nucleotides) under Oryza glumipatula. RNAcentral's name for it is "pre miRNA mir-75". It matches the Rfam family "mir-75 microRNA precursor family". Lineage: Eukaryota; Viridiplantae; Streptophyta; Magnoliopsida; Poales; Poaceae. The record is from RNAcentral.